This 389-nucleotide ribosomal RNA is filed under the name uncultured bacterium. RNAcentral describes it as "bacterial SSU rRNA". It matches the Rfam family "Bacterial small subunit ribosomal RNA", at positions 28 to 417 of the family's 1533-position model. The record is from RNAcentral.
GACGAACGCUGGCGGCGUGCUUAAUACAUGCAAGUCGAGCGGUAAGGCCCUUUCGGGGGUACGACGAGCGGCGAACGGGUGAGUAACACGUGGGUGACCUGCCCUCAGCUCUGGGAUAAGCCUGGGAAACUGGGUCUAAUACCGGAUAUGACUCCAUGACGCAUGUUGUGGGGUGGAAAGCCUUGUGCGGCUGAGGAUGGGCCCGCGGCCUAUCAGCUUGUUGGUGGGGUGAUGGCCUACCAAGGCGACGACGGGUAGCCGGCCUGAGAGGGCGACCGGCCACACUGGGACUGAGACACGGCCCAGACUCCUACGGGAGGCAGCAGUGGGGAAUCUUGCGCAAUGGGCGAAAGCCUGACGCAGCGACGCCGCGUGAGGGAUGACGGCCU